RNAcentral lists this long non-coding RNA (1730 nucleotides) under Ictidomys tridecemlineatus (thirteen-lined ground squirrel). RNAcentral describes it as "lncRNA (ENSSTOG00000029625.1)". The record is from RNAcentral. Lineage: Eukaryota; Metazoa; Chordata; Mammalia; Rodentia; Sciuridae.
AAGGGCCACAGUGGACCUGCUGCUCUGAUGCCUGCAGGCACAAGGUAGGGGCUAGGGUGGGUGAGGCCACUCCAGGGGUCACCAUGGCCACACGUGGCCAAGGGACAGGGACAGAACAAAUCCCUUCACCAGCCCAGGGCCUGUGAGGCAGGGGGACAGCAGCUGCCAGCCAGAGCCCUGAGGGACUGUGCUGGACAGGCAUCUCCUCGGCUGGGCACAGCUGGCCGGCUGGCUUUGCCACAAUCCUCAUCAUCCCUCCCUGCUCGCUGCCCCACAGAUGAAAAUCCCCUCAGCUGAGGGGGUGAACAGGCACAAUGACCAUCUGUCCUCGUUUCUCCUGCUGCAUCCCAGGCCGCUCGAGCUGCACGCCUCCAAUCCCCAAGGAGCCACUGGCCACAGCACCAGGCCAGGCCCCCACUCAGCCCGUGCAAGGACGUCCUCAGCUCUGAGCCUUACUGACGUGCAGCUGCCCCCGCCUACAUCACUGGCCACGCAGCAGCUGUCCAGGCUGCCCUACCGUCUCUGCCUGAGGGCCAGGAAGACCAACCCUGCCCUUCAGGACCCCUGUGGCCAGCCUCAGCUCAGAGUGGGAGGCAAUGAGGCCACCAACUGCCAGAGAGUUCCACUUGGGAAGAGAGGUCCCAGGUCCCCUCACCCACCAGCUGUGACCGAAGCUGGGAAAGCUGGAGGCAGCAAGCCAGGAAGAGUCCACCCAGAAAGGAAGUGUCCCAGCGAUGGGCAGAACACCCGCGUGGUCUUCCAGUGACCGAUGGCAGGAAUAUCAGGAAGGAAUGGUGUCCGGCUCCGGUGAGUUGUGGCUUAAUAUCGUGAAUUCUUAGCCUGUCUUUGUAUUUACUGCUUAACGGGCGGGCUGUGAGGCUGUGGUCAGGUCCCAGCCGCCAGGGAGGGGAGCCUCUGCCCGGUUCCCGGCCGUCUGCUCCUGUCUGUAAUGAGAACGUUUAUUUAUGACUUCAAUUUGGUUUUUAUUGUCAUUCCUGUUUGCUUUUCAGAAUUAGGAGAAGUACAUCAAGCACUCUUCCCGCCCCCACGCACAGAGCAGAUCUUUCCUCAGAUGCGAGGGAGGAAAAGCCUCUCAUAAUCAUGUUGAAUGUUAAUAAUUAAAGUUAAACGGCUCAGUGGAUUGAGUCUCUAUUUCUUGAAAGCCACCUGCUUCAUCACAGGGUGACCCUGCGUGUCAGUUCUCCGUACCUAAAUGACUGGUGAAGUUCAGUUCCGGCAAACUUGGCAUUUCCCAGGAAACUUGGACUUAAUAAGGGUUUCCUUCUGGGUUUCCCAGGACCCUUCAAUACCACAGCCCUCGCUUGGUCUUGACCUGACAUGUUUCCCAAGAGAUGCGUGAGGGUGAGGGGCUGUCGGCGGUUGUCAUGGUUACUGGAACUGCAACCUGCCGUCCAUCUCCCAUUCACCCAGCUCCCUGGAGAGACUUUAGUCCUGUCCCACCACCCCACACUGGGAUCCUUGAUCUGCAGCCCUUCUGGGAAGAAGCCAUGUAGCCCAUCCUCCUGCCCCGACCCCCACACCCAGGAGGGGGAUCUGGGGCCACAGCUGUAGCCCACAGCCAGCUCCUCAGCAGCCCUUUUUUUUUUCCUCAGAAAGCAACUGGCCUUGUAAAGACCAAGUUGUGGGCAUGGGUCAGGGUUAGGCUCCUUUUGUGGCUCCUAAAGGCAAAGCCUUCUGUGGCUGGUGCAGCUCUAAGCCCUUGUAAAAUC